AUUUCAAACUACGUUAUAGGUGCCCUUCAGGGCUUAAUAGGGAAGUCCGGUGCAAAACCGGCACGGUCCCGCCACUGUAAUGGGGAGCAAAUCCAGGGUAUGCCACUGGAAUAAUAAUUCCGGGAAGGUUUGGAGGCACUAUGAUCCAGAGUCAGGAGAACUGCCUAUAGGACAAUCACCGU
This 182-nucleotide non-coding RNA is filed under the name Propionispora sp. 2/2-37. RNAcentral also lists the same sequence under 1 other name. The record is from RNAcentral. Lineage: Bacteria; Bacillati; Bacillota; Negativicutes; Selenomonadales; Sporomusaceae.